UACGUAGGGGGCGAGCGUUGUCCGGAUUUAUUGGGCGUAAAGAGCGUGUAGGCGGCCAGGUAGGUCUGCUGUGAAAACUCGAGGCUCAACCUCGAGACGUCGGCGGAAACCAUCUGGCUAGAGUCCGGAAGAGGAGAGUGGAAUUCCUGGUGUAGCGGUGAAAUGCGCAGAUAUCAGGAAGAACACCCGUGGCUAAGGCGGCUCUCUGGGACGGUACUGACGCUGAGACGCGAAAGCGUGGGGAGCGAACAGG
Molecule: ribosomal RNA, 253 nt
Filed under: uncultured bacterium
Lineage: Bacteria
Description: partial 16S ribosomal RNA
Rfam family: Bacterial small subunit ribosomal RNA
Source: RNAcentral